RNAcentral lists this ribosomal RNA (443 nucleotides) under uncultured bacterium. RNAcentral's name for it is "partial 16S ribosomal RNA". It matches the Rfam family "Bacterial small subunit ribosomal RNA", at positions 338 to 795 of the family's 1533-position model. The record is from RNAcentral.
CCUACGGGCGGCAGCAGUGGGGAAUAUUGGGCAAUGGGCGCAAGCCUGACCCAGCAACGCCGCGUGAAGGAAGAAGGCUUUCGGGUUGUAAACUUCUUUUCGCAGGGACGUAGCAAGUGACGGUACCUGAGGAAUAAGCCACGGCUAACUAUGUGCCAGCAGCCGCGGUAAUACGUAGGAGGCAAGCGUUAUCCGGAUUUACUGGGUGUAAAGGGCGUGUAGGCGGGGACGCAAGUCAGAUGUGAAAACCACGGGCUCAACCUGUGGCCUGCAUUUGAAACUGUGUUUCUUGAGUACCGGAGAGGCAGGCGGAAUUCCUGGUGUAGCGGUGAAAUGCGUAGAUAUUAGGAAGAACACCGGUGGCGAUGGCGGUCUGCUGGACAGCAACUGACGCUGAGGCGCGAAAGCGUGGGGAGCAAACAGGAUUAGAUACCCCGGUAGUC